GGGGAGGUUCAACCAACAAGAACUGCUAACUCUUGCAUCUGAGUWUAAACCCCCAGUCCCCUUA
RNAcentral lists this transfer RNA (64 nucleotides) under Zosterops poliogastrus (broad-ringed white-eye). Its description in RNAcentral is "tRNA-Ser". The record is from RNAcentral. Lineage: Eukaryota; Metazoa; Chordata; Aves; Passeriformes; Zosteropidae.